RNAcentral lists this ribosomal RNA (490 nucleotides) under uncultured bacterium. Its description in RNAcentral is "partial 16S ribosomal RNA". It matches the Rfam family "Bacterial small subunit ribosomal RNA", at positions 28 to 507 of the family's 1533-position model. The record is from RNAcentral.
GAUGAACGCUAGCUACAGGCUUAACACAUGCAAGUCGCGGGGCAGCAUGGUGGUUGCUUGCACUCCCCGAUGGCGACCGGCGCACGGGUGAGUAACGCGUCUCCAUCCUCCCCUUCACCACGGGAUACCCCGGCGAAAUUCCGCCUAUUACCGUAUGUUGUCCCUUGUCGGCGUCCGAUUUCUUCGAACCGUUUGGCGUUGAAUGAUGGGGUGGCGUCCGAUUAGCUGGACGGCGGGGUGACGGCCCACCGUGGCGACGCUCGGUAGGGGUGCUGAGAGGAAGGUACCCCAGACUGGAGCUGAGACACGGACCAGAAUCCGACGGGAGGCAGCAGAGAGGAAGAUUAGGCAAUGGGCGUAAGCCUGAACCAGCCAAGUAGCGUGCAGGAGGACGGCCGUAUGGGUUGUAAACUGCUGUUAUGCGGGGAUAAAGUGGUAAACGUGUGGGUUUUUGAAGGUACCGAAUGAAUAAGGACCGGCUAAUUCCGUG